RNAcentral lists this ribosomal RNA (436 nucleotides) under uncultured bacterium. Its description in RNAcentral is "bacterial SSU rRNA". It matches the Rfam family "Bacterial small subunit ribosomal RNA", at positions 28 to 487 of the family's 1533-position model. The record is from RNAcentral.
GAUAAACGCUGGCGGCGUGCCUAACACAUGCAAGUCGAACGCCCUUUUGCGCAAGUGAGAGGGAGUGGCGGACGGGUGAGUAGCACGUGGGUACCUACCCCAAGAUGAGGAAUACCACCGAGAAAUCGGUGACAAGACCGCAUACCUUCGGCCACGAAGAAAGCUUCUCCUCACGAGAGGCGUCUUGGGAUGGGCCUGCGCCUGAUUAGCUGGUUGGUGAGGUAACAGCNCACCAAGGCGACGAUCAGUAGCUGGUCUGAGAGGAUGAUCAGCCACACUGGGAUUGAGAACGGCCCAGGCUCCGUACGGGGGGCAGCAGUGAGGAAUUUUCGUCAAUGGGGGCAACCCUGAACGAGCAACGCCGCGUGCAGGAUGACACUUUUCGGAGCGUAAACUGUCUUUUCUUCAGGAAGAGAACGGACGGUACUGAAGGAAG